CCUACGGGGGGCUGCAGUAAGGAAUAUUGGGCAAUGGACGCAAGUCUGACCCAGCCAUGCCGCGUGAAGGAUGAAGGCCCUAUGGGUUGUAAACUUCUUUUAUACGGGAAAAAACCUUCGGUCGUGUACCGGAGCUGAUGGUACCGUAAGAAUAAGCAUCGGCUAACUCCGUGCCAGCAGCCGCGGUAAUACGGAGGAUGCAAGCGUUAUCCGGAUUCAUUGGGUUUAAAGGGUGCGCAGGCGGAAUAAUAAGUCAGUGGUGAAAUCCUACGGCUCAACUGUAGAACUGCCAUUGAUACUGUUAUUCUUGAGUACUGUUGAGGUGGGCGGAAUGUGUCAUGUAGCGGUGAAAUGCUUAGAUAUGACACAGAACACCGAUCGCGAAGGCAGCUCACCAAGCAGAAACUGACGCUCAUGCACGAAAGCGUGGGGAUCAAACAGGCUUAGAUACCCCUGUAGUC
This 461-nucleotide ribosomal RNA is filed under the name uncultured Bacteroidota bacterium. RNAcentral's name for it is "bacterial SSU rRNA". It matches the Rfam family "Bacterial small subunit ribosomal RNA", at positions 338 to 795 of the family's 1533-position model. The record is from RNAcentral. Lineage: Bacteria; Pseudomonadati; Bacteroidota.